RNAcentral lists this transfer RNA (75 nucleotides) under Candidatus Parcubacteria bacterium. Its description in RNAcentral is "tRNA-Trp". It matches the Rfam family "tRNA". Rfam says of the family: Transfer RNA (tRNA) molecules are approximately 80 nucleotides in length. Their secondary structure includes four short double-helical elements and three loops (D, anti-codon, and T loops). Lineage: Bacteria; Candidatus Parcubacteria. The record is from RNAcentral.
GGGUCUGUAGUUCAAUCGGCAGAACGGCGGACUCCAAAUCCGCUAAUCCAGGUUCGACUCCUGGCAGACCCGCGA